Molecule: long non-coding RNA, 459 nt
Filed under: Nicotiana benthamiana
Lineage: Eukaryota; Viridiplantae; Streptophyta; Magnoliopsida; Solanales; Solanaceae
Description: long non-coding RNA (NBEN_LNC015736)
Source: RNAcentral
UUUCACUUCUGCCAUUUGGAUUUUCCUUUAUGCAAUGUAGUAUGGGAACCAAAUUAUAACUUGGAACAAAGAUUCCCUAAAUUAUUGCAUGCAGGUAAUAUCUAUCACAUUAUAAUUUCAUCUAGAAAUUUGAGAGUUUAGACCAGGGUUUGAAAUUGAGGGUUUUAACCUUCAAUUAAACUUUCAUUACAGAGAUUGUUCAGACAAUUGAAGUUUUCGAAUGCGCAUUCGAUUGUUUUUCGACUUCAAGGGAAGAAACGGGAAUGGACUCUAUUGGAGAAGCCAUUUGAAUUUGAUAGGGAUUUCUAGGUGACCCAUAUUUGAAGAGUAAGAGAUGAAGUUUUAAACCCGUCUCUGAUUUUCUCUGCUGUUUUGGCUACUUUUUUUUUGGGUGUAAAUUUCCUAAUGUUUUUUUGUGGAUCUUCGGUUUUGGUCAUUGUGGCCUACUUUACUUUUUCC